Molecule: long non-coding RNA, 1190 nt
Organism: Cyprinus carpio (common carp)
Lineage: Eukaryota; Metazoa; Chordata; Actinopteri; Cypriniformes; Cyprinidae
Source: Ensembl
CACUGAUGCAAUAUUUACUUGUGACAUUUCAUCAUUUCUCAGGAUCAACGUUUGGUGGGGAUAAACAAGCACCUUCAUCCCCAACAGAAUGCAAAGGUAUGUAUAGUUAUAGUUGAGACCUGAAAGUUCUUUUGUUUGCACAUGUUCAGCAAGUGAUGUUAAAUGAUGUUUGAUGUCUACUCUGUUGAUUAUUAUUUUACUGUAUCUGCAGAUAAUUCAGCUGUAAGUGACCUGUCUGAAUUUGAAGACCACAAAGAAACUUUGUGUCAGCAUAGGUCAGGGGGUAAUGGUGACAGACCUCAGGCACUACAUGCCAACAUCUCCACAGAUCGCAUUCUGCCAGGACCACAUGACAUUUCACAGUCUCGGGCAGCAGGACCAACACAGCCGCACUUGAAGGUGUUCCCUCGAACCAUGAAGGGCGACCGGAAAAGAGCUUUCAACAAAAUGUGGUACACACAACACCAAUGGCUGGAGUAUUCUGUAAGCCGAGACUCUGCAUAUUGUUUUCCGUGUCGACACUUUUCUCUCCCUGGUAUUCAAGAGACUUCAUUCACAUCAUCACUGGGCUAUUCUAACUGGAAGAAGGCAAUGUAUAAAGAUGGAGGUUUCAGGGGACAUGGAAAAUCUGAAAAUCAUGUUAAUGCCAUGAUAGCAUGGAAUGAACACAAAAAAAGAAUCUUGACAGACACUUCAGUGUUAAAUGCCCUCAAUAAGAAACACCAAGAAGUAGUCGAACAAAAUCGUACCUACAUUAAAACAGUUGCUGAGGUACUUUUGUUUACUGCAACGCAAAACAUUUCACAAAGGGGACUCGUCAAAAUGACUGAGAUGGCCAAUCAAAUCAAAGUAGGCGGGGUUUACUGUUGACAUAAGCAGAGCGUGAAGCGUCAGUAUAACAUUAAAGAGAGCGAGGUAAGAUGAAGCUGCAAAUCAUUUAAUAUUAGUCAGCUUUAACCAAUACGUUUAAUGAUAGAAAUGUUAAAUUACCGACAGCCAUGUCCAGUGAUGAAAACUAUAUGGCCGUUUUGAGAGAGAGAGCAGUGUUGUCUGCGUUUUGUGUCACUCUCUAUAAACAAUGAAGCUGAGUUUUUGUUAUUAAAAAAAAAAAAACAGCGAUUUUACCCCCCUCGUUGCUGAGAAAUAUGUAGCGAUUCAGUAUCGAUUAAUAAAAGUCGCGUGGCAGCGCA